This 1824-nucleotide long non-coding RNA is filed under the name Medicago truncatula (barrel medic). RNAcentral describes it as "long non-coding RNA (MTRU_LNC007353)". The record is from RNAcentral. Lineage: Eukaryota; Viridiplantae; Streptophyta; Magnoliopsida; Fabales; Fabaceae.
AAUUAGGUUGUUGUUUGUCAUUUUGUUUUUCGUAUUAAUUUUGCAAAUUAUUUUUUUGUCUUGCAUUCGUUAUGUGUACAUGCUGGCCUGUUUUUACGUGCUUUGUCCUGAAUUCACACACUCAAAUUAUUGGUGACAUUGGAAUCAAAGAUUGGACAUUUUAAAUUUUAAAUCGUGUAUUACUGUACAAAUGCAAGGAUAUCCAUUGUUUGAAAACUAAAAUAUAGGAUAAAAUGAUCCUAAAUGUAUAUUACCUUACAUAAACUUAACUGAACUCAAGUGCAAUUAAUGUUUAAGUAGGAGAUAGAGGAAAUAGUGAUAAACAAAUGUAAACUAAUUUAAUCAAGUAAAUUAACUUAAGUGGUUAACCAACUCCGCUUAAAGACGAAUCAUUUUUGGAAAAAAUUAACUUAUUUAUCGAUCGAACUUCAAAUUCUAAGGAUCCUUUUUUUUUUUUUUUUUUUAAAAUAGGGAUGGGGAAAGUUGAAUUUUGAAUUUUAAAUGACCACUUUUAUCCGGUAUAGGAGAGUUAACACACAGAGAUAUUCUUCCAUGGUCACAAGACCAAAUCAAUAAUAUUUGAACAUACAUACAUAAAAAGAUUCUCCUCAAAAUAUUCAAUCAUCUUUUUUUAUCAAUUUCUUUCUUAUUAUUAAAAAAAUAUUUUUUUUAUGCGUGUGACCAAACACUUUUUCUUUGAUCAUGUGACGAUAUUAAAAUUUCUCUAAGAUAAGAAAUAUACAUCGUCAUUACUCCAUUUGUAUUUUUUUCUUGGAUAUUUUUUUUGGAAUAUUCUCUCAUAUGCUUGAGACGGCGAUGUUGUUAGUGAGGCGUGCGUGCUACUUUGGUACUUAAUAAUUGAUAAAAGAGACCACUAAUGGACAAAACAUGAAAGUAAAUUUUAGGCCAUGUUAACUAUUACAGUUAGGAUAGGGGCAAUAGUCAAAGAAACAAAAAGCUAAAAAUUUCUAUUGAAAAUAUCAUUUCUUUUUUGUUUUUAAUAGUUUGAUUACACAAGUUUAAAUUUUAUUUUAUUAUAUUUGUUUUUUUAACCAAUGACUCAGAAACAUUUGUUAAUAUUUUCUAUUAUAACACCAUCUCCAUGAUCCAUUCCCUUUCACUGUUACACUUUUUUAUCAGCUUUGGUGCACGAACAUGUCAAAUUAUGGAGAUCAGGUGAAGAAAAUUAAAGGAAAUAAGUAGAUGAAUAAUGUUCUAAUUUGGAAGUUAAGUUUAAAGAAAGAAAUUUUCACUACCAAUAUUAUGUAUCCUAAACAAAUCUUCUGCUGUUCAACAUCAAAUAAUUUAUGAAUUAAUCUAUCAUGGAAUAUAUUUAAAAAUUAUGCAUGAAUAAAAGAUAAACGAGUAACAAGUUACCCCGCUAUUUCUUUUAACAAAAUUGAGACAAGAUAAAAUUUGUACAAUUAAGCCAAAGCUUGUAAAUCAGAACUAAAGUAAGUGAGUAGAGAUUGUCCAUUAGUGAGGUGUAACAUAAUUCCUAUUUCUUUAUAACUACAUACAUUUUCCAUCAAUACGACCCUGAUCCGGUUCAUUAAAAUGUCAUGAAACUAUCUUUCUUUUUUAGGGAAUGAAACUAUCUUUAGAUAAUACAUUAUUUUAAGAAAAAUGCUAACUUAUGUCCUAAAGGCAUAAGCUAAGGAUUUAAAAAUAGAAUUAAAAAAUAAAUGUUGCAUUGAAAUGAUAAGUUUUUAAGCUUUUAAGACACAAGUUAAAUUUCCAAAAUUAAAUUUUUACAUUUAAUUUCUUAUCUUAUUCUCUUAAGACACAAGUUAGCAAAACCUUUAUUUUAAUGUUAUAUGCUUA